AUCAAGAGUGCUUUCCUCAUUCAACAUAUACAAAGAGAAAAUAUUCAAAGGAAAAAGUACAUCAGGACGAUCCUGGUAGCAGAUACUCCAUUUUCAUUGUGUUUGGAAUUCUUGGACUGGUGAUUCUGUGUUCCUUUUCAGUAUUCCUUUAUUGUACAAGAACUCCUAAAAUGAAAUCAUCUAAGGACAGUUCAAUUGAAGAAGCCCUAUGUGCUUAACUGAUACUUCUGAUUAUCAAUAUCAGUACACCGUAUAGUGGUAAUGAUAGUGAUGUACAAGUGUGGAAUCGUAGUAUGUGAAUAUUUUGAUCGUCAUUUUCUUGUGAAUGCCUUACCUGUAGUGUGUUGAGUUCGACAUAUCGCAUGCUUACUCAUAAUUUAGAUAUUGUAGAA
Molecule: long non-coding RNA, 392 nt
Organism: Saccostrea echinata
Lineage: Eukaryota; Metazoa; Mollusca; Bivalvia; Ostreida; Ostreidae
Exons: 3
Source: RefSeq, a predicted model, not a curated record